AUAGCCUUCCUUUAUUUGCGAUUCUCAGAGCUCGAAAGCUUUUCGUCUCAGUAUCAUUUUUGCAGGACUCUUUCUACUAAUUAGACCCUCAGAGGAAUGACUGAAUAUAUCUAAGGUCAACGUAUUUUCUUCGGCUGGAAGUCGCCAGAAAAUUUCAAAUGAAGCCCGAUGCCGCGUGCAACGGAAAUUUUUCAAAUAUCUGACCGCGUUCUGCGCAAUUCGCAUGGCGAUUCUUCUGAUCGCCAUGUGUUCGGGACAUGGCCAAGCACCGAUACUUUAUGAUUGAAACAACGGCUGUGUAACGUGAAUCGUUCAGUGUAUUCCCACGAAACUCAUUUGUGAAUAAUAUACAAACGACAAGCCGCGUGUGGUAGAAAAAAGAACGGAGUUACUGAAAUAAAAACAGUCUGUGACAUCGAAGGUGAGUUUAGUUUAUCAAAUUUUCAUUGCUUGUGCAACUUCAGCUUUUAGUGAUUUCGAUACUCGACUCUAUGCGUCGGGUGUCGUUUGUUAUUGUUUGUGGUGCGGCUGACUUUCUGUCAGUGCGUAGUUGCAUUGUUAGCAAGUUUAACUCAAUCCGUUUAGGCAGCCAACUGUAACACGAAAAGUGUUAAUGGGCUUCACAUAUCGAGUGUAAUUAUUACGCUGCAGUUUGCUGAACAUGUUAUUAACAGAUUGAAAUUGCUCUCGGGCAGAGUUUUGACUAGUCACAAGCGUUCUGUGCCGAGAAAAUGGCCCGAUAAUCUUCCGUUGUGAUUUUUUUUCCAACAUUCUGGAAAAUCGGGUCUUGCGGAAGGCGACCUUCCUGCGAGUUGCGUCUCGGAUUUCGAUUCGCGGAUCAAGUAUUUCCAACUAACUUCUGUUACCAACAUUAGUUUAAGUGUUUUGAGUAUUAUUGUGUAAUAUAAUGAUGCGAUUGGUUUAUUCGUCGCAUAUGUAAAAUCGCUUGUAUGUACGUACAGUGAUAACCAAUGAAAAUUUUGCAGUCAAUUUUGUUGUCUAUCAUUCUUGCUGCAAUAACAUCAUGUGUUAAUAUAUUUUUGAUUCAUUUCGUUACUUCCAAUUAAAAAUCGUGCAUUUUUUAAUUCUUACGUUGAAAACGCAUCUGAGAACCACUGACUCAACCACGUAUUUUGACGUACGGCAUUUUGCCGUUGCGUCGCGUCGGUACUCACUUUCAACGUAUUAUCAAUGCAUUUGUUGCAGCGUAAAUUUGCCGUCGGGCCAAUUAGACGCCCGUGAAAAUCCAACUUGACAAAAAAAAAAAAAAAAAUACAAACGAAUUUCAUCUGUCAAGCUGCCGUCGUAUCGCCUUCAUUUUUUUACAACGUGGCACUGAGGAAUCGCGCCAAGUAAAGCGAUGACAACUCUCCGAUUGGCCCUGGUACAACUUGCCGUAACCGACGAUAAAGCAAUAAACAUCUCUCGAGCAAUCUCCUUUGUCAAACAAGCAAAACAACGCGAUGCCGACGUCGUUGCACUGCCAGAGUGCUUCAACUCACCUUAUGGAACUGUACAUUUUCGAAAUUUCGCUGAAAAUAUUCCCGCGGGUGAGACAAGCCUUGCUUUAUCAGCUGCAGCUAAAACGAAUGAAAUUUAUGUGAUCGGUGGUUCGAUCCCGGAAAGAGAUGGGGAGCAAUUGUUCAACACUUGUACGGUCUGGGAUUCCAAAGGAACAUUCAUCGGGAAAUACAGAAAGAUGCAUUUGUUCGACGUAGACGUUGAAGGAAAAAUAUCAUUCAAAGAAAGUGACACCAUCACAGCUGGCAAUGAGCUAUUCACGUUUCGAGUCAAAGGCUGGAAAAUCGGUUUAGGAAUCUGUCACGACAUCCGGUUCGAAGAGUUGGCUCGUCUGUACCGUAAUUUAGGUAAUCCGAUUCACAAUGAAAGCACCUUACCGCACACCCUCCCCUACACUCAUAGUUUCUCUGCCGUUCAUCCAUCGACAGGGUGUCAAUUGAUGUUUUACCCCGGUGCUUUUGAAUCGACCGUAACCGGACCGUUGCAUUGGUCUCUUCUCCAACGAGCCCGUGCCAAUGACGCCCAGCUUUACGUUGCCGGUGUAUCUUCGGCCAAAGUAGACGGUUUCGGGUACGAAUCUUAUGGCCACACGCAGCUGACGGAUCCCUGGGGAAGAGUGCUCAAGGAGUUGGAGUUCGCGGAAGAUAUGAUUGUUGCUGAUAUUGACAUGACAGUUGUUGAUGAGGUGAGAACCCAGAUUCCGAUUUUUGGUCAACGACGUGAGGACUUAUAUGAGACUGCUUGGAUGAAAAAUUAAUACGAACGCCGGAGAAGUUUUCGUCAAUGUAUAUUUUCUUUUUUUUUUUAUACAGCUAAUGUAAAUUAUAUUAUUGCCCGUAUCCUUCAAAUUGACAGUUGAAAAUGCGCACUAUAAGUAAUGGAAAAAUAUCAUCCAUUUGCAUAGUUAAACUUUCGAAGCUGUUCAAUUUGUUCGCAAGUUAUUGUACCUUAAUUAGCACGCUUUGUUUUAAUUUCAGAUCACUGAAUAUAAUACAAUGAAUUUAGAAUGUUUAUUUAUACAUAAAAGGCCCCUUGAUGAUCCUCAACAAAUCUCAAUCAAACUUAAUAGUUCAUGUUUUAACAUGUUAUUACGUUCCUGUGCAUAUUACAUAAUAUGUUAUUAUUAUUUUUAUAUUUACAUUGAUAGAAUAAUAAAUUUAUACGUGUAUAAAUAUUAGUUAAAAAUGUAAGCCUAGGAGAAAUUGGUCAAUUAAUAAGACUUCUAAGUAUGAAUCUAAGGAAUAGCGAAAAAGCUUUGAUUUUCAGUCGAUAUGAGUUGGGCUGAAGUAAUCCGAACAAUAUGAAAUCGUGGUAAUAUAUCACUAUAUUGAUUUGAUUUCCGGUGAAAGCUUGCUUCUGAAAAUACAUUGAAAACAAGUUUUCAGACAAACUUGAAACAUGACUUUUGUCAAAACAUCCAAAUGUUUUCCAUAAAGUUUUUAUACGUCAGAAUUUCAUAUAAAAUCUUUAAAGUAGUUAUCCCAUUAAAAAUACAAGCGUUUUUAAACGCCCAACUCACUUGAAUAGAUUUUGCUUUUCCCAAAAUUUACUUACACAAUUAACAAGGAUGAACAGAAGAGACAAAAUAUCGCAAUAAUAUUCCAAGAAUUGGUAUUACAAGCUUGUUAAAAUUUUUUAGUAAGAAGUUGUUCAUCAGGUUUGAAAUCAAGAUCACAAAAUUUUGCGUUCAUUUUAAAAGCAGCGCUCUUCAAAUUUGUCUCAUGUUCUGAAAUCACUUUAUCAUAACAAUAACUAAUUUCAUAUAUUCCUUUUUUCAUUCCAUACAAAUCUGCAACAACGAUGUACGAAAUUUUGAUUUGUGCAAUGCGAGGCGGUAUAAUUUUUUUAAGUAAUUUAUUUUUGCAUCUUUCAAAUUGUUUGCGAGAAUCUUUCUACCGUUUGCGAGAAGAAUUGAGAAAAAAUUUAUCGAUGCAAAAUGUGAUAUUAUAGCAUGCGAUAGCGUGGAAUGAAAUAUGGUUUGAUAUUAAAUAUUAUCUUACGUCAAAAGUCAACGCGACAAAACAUAGAGAAACAUAAGUUGAUGCAGAAAUUAUUUUUAAACUGCUUAAAAUUCACCCUACUUUCAACAUUCGAUAAUAUUACGUACCUUACAUCUAAAAAGACGUCAAUUCGCUAAGAAGUAUUCAAGAAACCAUUUAUUUCAGUAAUUUCUAGCUGAUACUUCGCAAGCAUUUUCAUGCUUAUGAUGAUCGCUUGUGAUGAUAAAAAAAUUAUUUAUGUAACGCAUGUCUGGUUUAUGCGUCUCUUUUUUAUCUGCGUUUCGUACUGACAAGUUUUCAUAAAGAGCAAAAACUGACUUGAUAUUUAUGCAAAAGUUAUUAUAUACAUGUUUUCAAUGAUAUGUGAUUACAGACAUAAAUUCUUAUUCGAAUGGAUGGAUUUAACGUAUCUUGAUACUGGCUCUCGUCGAUUGGAAUGACGAAACGAUAAUAUGGAUUACGUCUAUAAAUUGAAGAGGUAGAUUUAAAAAAACUGUUCGGAUGGCAGCUCUCGGAGAUCUUAAAACAUAGAAGAUUUCUGUUUACCACUUCGCCUUGACAACCAACGGACCUGUAAACCCCGGAAACCAUACUUCAAAUUCUAGCCUUCGGCAAUGUGCUGCCAAAAGUACGGACAUGAUUUUCCACAUAUUCCUCAAUUUCACAAUAAAUUUUUCGAGAGGA
RNAcentral lists this unclassified non-coding RNA (4205 nucleotides) under Neodiprion lecontei (redheaded pine sawfly). RNAcentral's name for it is "omega-amidase NIT2-like, transcript variant X2". Lineage: Eukaryota; Metazoa; Arthropoda; Insecta; Hymenoptera; Diprionidae. The record is from RNAcentral.